Molecule: ribosomal RNA, 493 nt
Filed under: uncultured bacterium
Lineage: Bacteria
Description: bacterial SSU rRNA
Rfam family: Bacterial small subunit ribosomal RNA
Source: RNAcentral
AAAUGAAUUGACGGGGACCCGCACAAGCGGCGGAGCAUGCGGAUUAAUUCGAUGCAACGCGAAGAACCUUACCAAGACUUGACAUAUAGAGGAAACGUCUGGAAACAGUCGCCCCGCAAGGUCUCUAUACAGGUGGUGCAUGGUUGUCGUCAGCUCGUGUCGUGAGAUGUUGGGUUAAGUCCCGCAACGAGCGCAACCCUCGUUCUAUGUUGCCAGCACGUAAUGGUGGGAACUCAUGGGAUACUGCCGGGGUCAACUCGGAGGAAGGUGGGGAUGACGUCAAAUCAUCAUGCCCCUUAUGUCUUGGGCUUCACGCAUGCUACAAUGGCCGGUACAAAGGGCUGCAAUACCGCAAGGUGGAGCGAAUCCCAAAAAGCCGGUCCCAGUUCGGAUUGAGGUCUGCAACUCGACCUCAUGAAGUCGGAGUCGCUAGUAAUCGCAGAUCAGCAACGCUGCGGUGAAUACGUUCCCGGGUCUUGUACACACCGCCCGU